Molecule: ribosomal RNA, 1252 nt
Filed under: metagenome
Description: bacterial LSU rRNA
Rfam family: Bacterial large subunit ribosomal RNA
Source: RNAcentral
UAUACGACCGUACCGCAAACCGACACUGGUGCGCGAGAUGAGUAUUCUAAGGCGCUUGAGAGAACUCAGGAGAAGGAACUCGGCAAAUUGACACCGUAACUUCGGAAGAAGGUGUGCCCUAUUAGUGUGUAGUGAACAACGAAGCAUGAAUGGGUUGCAAAAAAUCGGUGGCUGCGACUGUUUAUUAAAAACACAGCACUCUGCAAACACGAAAGUGGACGUAUAGGGUGUGACGCCUGCCCGGUGCUGGAAGAUUAAAUGAUGGGGUGCAAGCUCUUGAUUGAAGUCCCAGUAAACGGCGGCCGUAACAAUAACGGUCCUAAGGUAGCGAAAUUCCUUGUCGGGUAAGUUCCGACCUGCACGAAUGGCGUAACGAUGGCCACACUGUCUCCUCCUGAGACUCAGCGAAGUUGAAAUGUUUGUGAUGAUGCAAUCUCCCCGCGGAAAGACGGAAAGACCCCAUGAACCUUUACUGUAGCUUUGUAUUGGACUUUGAACAGAUCUGUGUAGGAUAGGUGGGAGGCUUUGAAGCAGGGUCGCUAGAUCUUGUGGAGCCAACGUUGAAAUACCACCCUGGUGUGUUUGAGGUUCUAACCUAGGUCCAUUAUCUGGAUCGGGGACAGUGCAUGGUAGGCAGUUUGACUGGGGCGGUCUCCUCCCAAAGCGUAACGGAGGAGUUCGAAGGUACGCUAGUUACGGUCGGACAUCGUGACGAUAGUGCAAUGGCAUAAGCGUGCUUAACUGCGAGACUGACAAGUCGAGCAGAUGCGAAAGCAGGACAUAGUGAUCCGGUGGUUCUGUAUGGAAGGGCCAUCGCUCAACGGAUAAAAGGUACUCUGGGGAUAACAGGCUGAUACCGCCCAAGAGUUCAUAUCGACGGCGGUGUUUGGCACCUCGAUGUCGGCUCAUCUCAUCCUGGGGCUGUAGCCGGUCCCAAGGGUAUGGCUUUCGCCAUUUAAAGAGGUACGUGAGCUGGGUUUAAAACGUCGUGAGACAGUUUGGUCCCUAUCUUCCGUGGGCGCUGCAGAUUUGAGGAAGCCUGCUCCUAGUACGAGAGGACCGGAGUGGACACACCUCUGGUGUAUCGGUUGUCACGCCAGUGGCAUUGCCGAGUAGCUAAGUGUGGAAGAGAUAACCGCUGAAAGCAUCUAAGCGGGAAACUCGUUUCAAGAUGAGAUCUGCCGGGGCCUUGAGCCCCCUAAAGAGUCGUUCAAGACCAGGACGUUGAUAGGUCAGGUGCGGAAGCGAAAAG